Long non-coding RNA from Tarenaya hassleriana, 443 nucleotides. RefSeq lists it as uncharacterized. The record is from RefSeq and is a predicted model, not a curated record. Lineage: Eukaryota; Viridiplantae; Streptophyta; Magnoliopsida; Brassicales; Cleomaceae. The transcript has 2 exons.
AGAAAAUUUAAACUGUUUAGCGCGGGAUCCCUAACAAUUGCAAACCCUAAAUUGCAAUUUCAGGGAAAGAUCUUCAAGUUUCGUUUCAUGGUUCAUAUGUUUGAUUGAAUCAGCGAGGUAGACGAAGAGGGAGAAUUGGAAUCGGAAGAUGAAAUGGAUAAGCGAGAUUCCACGGCAGACAGAUUCCUUUCGACGGUGCUGCCUCAGCGAUCGCUGGAAAUACGACGAAGAACAAAUGAACGAUGGACGGACAACUGUUUGUAGAAAUCUCGCUCGAUUCCCACUACGAAUCUGUCACAGUUCACAGCAUGUUGUCGUCCGAUUGGUUUGAUGGAUCAGAGUACGAGAAUCCUGGAGAGGUCGGUUCUGAUUUUCAUUUCUGUCCCUGUAGGUCUACAAAUAUUUAGGGUUUCAGUGAAGCUAACCGUGUCAUGUUCUUGAUC